RNAcentral lists this transfer RNA (73 nucleotides) under Stegodyphus dumicola. RNAcentral's name for it is "tRNA-Thr". It matches the Rfam family "tRNA". From Rfam's summary of the family: Transfer RNA (tRNA) molecules are approximately 80 nucleotides in length. The record is from RNAcentral. Lineage: Eukaryota; Metazoa; Arthropoda; Arachnida; Araneae; Eresidae.
GCCUUCGUGGUGUAGUGGUCAGCACGCUCGACGCGUAUUCGAGAGGUCCGUGGUUCAAGUCCCGGCGAGGGCA